This 456-nucleotide ribosomal RNA is filed under the name uncultured bacterium. Its description in RNAcentral is "bacterial SSU rRNA". It matches the Rfam family "Bacterial small subunit ribosomal RNA", at positions 29 to 523 of the family's 1533-position model. The record is from RNAcentral.
AACGAACGCUGGCGGCAUGCCUAACACAUGCAAGUCGAACGGGAUCCUAGCUUGCUAGGUGAGAGUGGCGGACGGGUGAGUAACACGUGGGAAUCUGCCUUUUGGUUCGGGAUAACCGCGGGAAACUGCGGCUAAUACCGAAUGCCCUCGUGAGAGGAAAGAUUUAUCGCCAGAAGAGGAGCCCGCGUCCGAUUAGGUAGUUGGUGGGGUAAAGGCCUACCAAGCCGACGAUCGGUAGCUGGUCUGAGAGGAUGAUCAGCCACACUGGGACUGAGAUACGGCCCAGACUCCUACGGGAGGCAGCAGUGGGGAAUAUUGGACAAUGGGGGCAACCCUGAUCCAGCGAUGCCGCGUGAGUGAUGAAGGCCUUAGGGUUGUAAAGCUCUUUGCCAGGGAAGAUGAUGACUGUACCUGGAGAAUAAGCCCCGGCUAACUUCGUGCCAGCAGCCGCGGUAA